GAUGAACGCUGGCGGCGUGCCUAAUACAUGCAAGUCGAGCGAACAGACGAGGAGCUUGCUCCUCUGACGUUAGCGGCGGACGGGUGAGUAACACGUGGAUAACCUACCUAUAAGACUGGGAUAACUUCGGGAAACCGGAGCUAAUACCGGAUAAUAUAUUGAACCGCAUGGUUCAAUAGUGAAAGACGGUUUUGCUGUCACUUAAAGAUGGAUCCGCGCCGCAUUAGCUAGUUGGUAAGGUAACGGCUUACCAAGGCGACGAUGCGUAGCCGACCUGAGAGCGUGAUCGGCCACACUGGAAAUGAGCCACGGCCCAGACUCCUACGGGAGGCAGCAGUAGGGAAUCUUCCGCAAUGGGCGAAAGCCUGACGGAGCAACGCCGCGUGAGUGAUGAAGGUCUUCGGAUCGUAAAACUCUGUUAUUAGGGAAGAACAAAUGUGUAAGUAACUAUGCACGUCUUGACGGUACCUAAUCAGAAAGCCACGGCUAACUACGUG
RNAcentral lists this ribosomal RNA (497 nucleotides) under uncultured bacterium. Its description in RNAcentral is "partial 16S ribosomal RNA". It matches the Rfam family "Bacterial small subunit ribosomal RNA", at positions 28 to 507 of the family's 1533-position model. The record is from RNAcentral.